RNAcentral lists this ribosomal RNA (800 nucleotides) under Halomonas sp. RNAcentral describes it as "bacterial SSU rRNA". It matches the Rfam family "Bacterial small subunit ribosomal RNA", at positions 51 to 848 of the family's 1533-position model. The record is from RNAcentral. Lineage: Bacteria; Pseudomonadati; Pseudomonadota; Gammaproteobacteria; Oceanospirillales; Halomonadaceae.
ACACAUGCAGUCGAGCGGUAACAGAUCCAGCUUGCUGGAUGCUGACGAGCGGCGGACGGGUGAGUAAUGCAUAGGAAUCUGCCCGAUAGUGGGGGAUAACCUGGGGAAACCCAGGCUAAUACCGCAUACGUCCUACGGGAGAAAGGGGGCUUCGGCUCCCGCUAUCGGAUGAGCCUAUGUCGGAUUAGCUAGUUGGUGAGGUAAAGGCUCACCAAGGCAACGAUCCGUAGCUGGUCUGAGAGGAUGAUCAGCCACAUCGGGACUGAGACACGGCCCGAACUCCUACGGGAGGCAGCAGUGGGGAAUAUUGGACAAUGGGGGCAACCCUGAUCCAGCCAUGCCGCGUGUGUGAAGAAGGCCCUCGGGUUGUAAAGCACUUUCAGCGAGGAAGAACGCCUAGCGGUUAAUACCCGCUAGGAAAGACAUCACUCGCAGAAGAAGCACCGGCUAACUCCGUGCCAGCAGCCGCGGUAAUACGGAGGGUGCAAGCGUUAAUCGGAAUUACUGGGCGUAAAGCGCGCGUAGGUGGCUUGAUAAGCCGGUUGUGAAAGCCCCGGGCUCAACCUGGGAACGGCAUCCGGAACUGUCAAGCUAGAGUGCAGGAGAGGAAGGUAGAAUUCCCGGUGUAGCGGUGAAAUGCGUAGAGAUCGGGAGGAAUACCAGUGGCGAAGGCGGCCUUCUGGACUGACACUGACACUGAGGUGCGAAAGCGUGGGGUAGCAAACAGGAUUAGAUACCCUGGUAGUCCACGCCGUAAACGAUGUCGACCAGCCGUUGGGUGCCUAGCGCACUUUGUGGCG